This is a long non-coding RNA of Pollicipes pollicipes, 978 nucleotides long. RefSeq lists it as uncharacterized. The record is from RefSeq and is a predicted model, not a curated record. The transcript has 3 exons. NCBI's taxonomy places the organism in Eukaryota, Metazoa, Arthropoda, Thecostraca, Pollicipedomorpha, Pollicipedidae.
CGGAGGAGCUGCGCGCGCUGGCCGCCCACCUCGCCGCCCAGCUCCGCGCGGCGAAUAUUCCAGUCUUCCCGCUACCGGUGGCGCCGGGUGCGUCGGCGCCAUCUGUCGACAAGGCGGCGCACUUUGAGUUCCCAUCGCCGGCCACUGAUGCGACUGAAGGUGGCCGUUUGGCCUGUGACGGGGAUCAGAUUACGCCAGAGUGCGACGCGGCAGAAGGCUCGGCAGCCGCCGGAGUUAGCAAGGCCUCUGGAAAAGGUGGCCGCUGGCUGGAGGCGGCGCUGCGCCGUGCCGACGGCGCCGGCGUACCCUCGGCCGUGCUGCUGACCGAGCCGACCCUGCUGGACGGUGUGUGUCGGCUGCGCUGCAGGGACACCACACUCAGCCACCAGCUGCACGUGUCCCAGGUCACCGAGGUCACGUGAGGUCCUGCCACGGAUAAGCCGCCGGCGCGCUGGCGAGUGUUCCGCGUGUCACAAAGCGGCGUAGGUGACCUGGUUGUCUCGCUUUAUGGAGAUGCCUCGGCGGGCUUGUGUUUAAGGCUUCUGGGGGUGUUGAAGAGGCCGAUGGCCCAGGUGGUGUGGGGGUCGACUCGCGGUCCGGCCGCGCCGAGCCGUCGGGAUAGGACCGUGAGGUGUUGGCGAUCGCCUGGGCAAUGUCCAGUCAGCCCGCGGCGGCGCCGCACCGGCUGUUCGUCGGCGGACCAGGCCAAGCCGUCCCGGCCCAGCCCCUGCGCCGUGAUAGAGACAGACCACCGGAGGGGCGCGCGAAGUGUCGACUGGGCUCGGUCAGAUGCUGCCGCCCGUGCGCCCUGGCGUUUGACGGACCAGGCCGCAACGACGACGGGAUUGGGAGCCAUGUGAUAAUUGGUGUGUGAGACCAGGCCUAGUGCCCGUCACACUACCUCGUGUGUGGCCUGGCCGGCCGCUCCUGCGCGCGCCACAGCCGCCGUCAGACCUGUGAAUAAACGCCGAGCAUUCA